UACGUAGGGGCUAGCGUUAUCCGGAAUUACUGGGCGUAAAGGGUGCGUAGGUGGUUUCUUAAGUCAGAGGUGAAAGGCUACGGCUCAACCGUAGUAAGCCUUUGAAACUGGGAAACUUGAGUGCAGGAGAGGAGAGUGGAAUUCCUAGUGUAGCGGUGAAAUGCGUAGAUAUUAGGAGGAACACCAGUUGCGAAGGCGGCUCUCUGGACUGUAACUGACACUGAGGCACGAAAGCGUGGGGAGCAAACAGGAUUAGAUACCCUGGUAGUCCAUGA
This 275-nucleotide ribosomal RNA is filed under the name uncultured prokaryote. Its description in RNAcentral is "partial 16S ribosomal RNA". It matches the Rfam family "Bacterial small subunit ribosomal RNA", at positions 524 to 800 of the family's 1533-position model. The record is from RNAcentral.